GAACCGUGCGAACGUUGUUCGGAAUCACUGGGCUUAAAGGGCGCGUAGGCGGGGGGCUGUCAAGUCUGGGGGGGUGAAAUCUUCCGGGCUCAACCGGAAAAGUGCCUCGGAUACUGGCGGUCUAGAGCGAGGUAGGGGCAUGUGGAACUUCCGGUGGAGCGGUGAAAUGCGUUGAUAUCGGAAGGAACGCCGGUGGCGAAAGCGACAUGCUGGAUCUCUUCUGACGCUGAGGCGCGAAAGCUAGGGGAGCGAACGGGAUUAGAUACCCCGGUAGUCCUAGCCUUAAACGAUGGGUACUAGGUUGCGGGCUUGACAUGAGUUCGCAGCCGAAGCAAAAGUACUAAGUACCCCGCCUGGGGAGUAUGGUCGCAAAGGCUG
This 378-nucleotide ribosomal RNA is filed under the name uncultured organism. RNAcentral describes it as "partial 16S ribosomal RNA". It matches the Rfam family "Bacterial small subunit ribosomal RNA", at positions 527 to 896 of the family's 1533-position model. The record is from RNAcentral.